Molecule: long non-coding RNA, 7971 nt
Filed under: Sorghum bicolor (sorghum)
Lineage: Eukaryota; Viridiplantae; Streptophyta; Magnoliopsida; Poales; Poaceae
Description: long non-coding RNA (SBIC_LNC016867)
Source: RNAcentral
CCUCUGUACAGCGUCAGCACAGGUCAAGCAGGUAAUCUUUAGAACUGCAUGUUGUGCAUAGAACUAGAGAAAAAUCAAUUACUUAAAAUGUUACUCACAGUGGGGUUAGUAACGAGAAGGUCAUCUCCUACAAUCUGCACUUGCUGUCCAAUCUCAUCAGUGAGUUUGGCAUAAGUGGUCCAGUCAUCCUGAUCGAAUGGAUCUUCGAUAGACACAAUAGGGUACUCAGAUACAAAGGACUUGUACAGAUCUUUCAGGCUGUCACCUGAAAUUUUGUUUGAACCAUCGUUGUUCUGGCCAAGAAAGUGAGUACACGUUGAUAUAAAAUAAAAGCUCAUAUAUUAUCAUAGCCUUAUAGAAUAACACAUAAGGAAUAGCUAAAGCCAUAGGUAAAUAUAACUAUAAAAGCACAAUAGUAAGUUGCAAUUCUUACCUCCUCCUUGAAAUUAAGAUCAUACGUCUUGUCCUUCUCACUAAAGAAUUCAGAAGCAGCAACAUCCAUUCCAAUGACCACCUGCCACACAGAUAAGUUGAAUCAACUACACACACAAAGGUUUGUCUGUUAGUGAGCCAAGUACAAAAGAGAGGACGUACCUUUCCAGUGUAGCCAGCCUUUUCUAUAGCUGCCUUCAGUAGUUCAAGGCCUUCUUUGUUUUCCUGCAUAUAUUGGUUGUCAUAGAAAUUAGAUUGUGAGAUAAAUGGAUGUUGAUGAUUAAUUUUGUAAUUACCCUACAGUAAACAUAGAAAAAAUAUCAUAGUGUUCCUAUAGUGAGAACAUAGAGCAAUAAUUAGGCUAGCACCACUAACUUGCCAAAUUUUGAAUUAUGUCCUGAUCAUCUUAAAUAUAUGCUAGAUAGCAUCAAAAAAUAUAUAUAAGUAAGAAUUGUUGUGCUAGCCUAUGACAGCAGCAGAGAAGAACAUAUGGACAUUACCUGAAUGUUAGGUGCAAAACCACCUUCAUCCCCAACAUUUGUGGCAUCUUGACCAUACUUCUUCUUGAUUAUGCUCUGCAUACAGUAGCAUUUAGCAUUCUGACUUCACAUUCCUAGGGACCACACUUAAGAUACUUCAAUAGAUGCAUUAGUUGAUCACCUUCAGGUUGUGGUACACCUCAACUCCCAUCUUCAUGGCCUCCUUGAACGAGGAGGCACCAGUUGGGAGGAUCAUGAACUCCUGUACAACAGUUAAAUGAUCAGAGAGUAUAGUCGAGGCAUGUAGUCAGAAAAUCAGAUUUCUCAAGGAAUGUUACCUGCAUGGCAAGCUUGUUCCCAGCAUGUGAUCCGCCAUUAAUCACAUUAAAGGCAGGUACAGGGAGCACCAAAGUUUUGUUUCCAGCAAGAUUUGCGAUGUGCUGCAAAUAAGUAAACUUUCAGGACACCCUCUAAAUUGUGCAUACAACAUAAUAAUAAAUUAUAGCGGUAAUGUUUGAAAGACCUGGUAAAGAGGAAUCUUCUUCACCAUAGCUCCAGCUUUACACACAGCAAGUGAAACGGCAAGAAUGGCAUUUGCGCCAAGCUUUAUAGAUUGAACAUGACAAAGGAAAUCAAUACAAGCAGUGCAAGAUGGAAGUCAAGUUUAGGAACACAAGUAUGAACUCCAUGAUACCUUCUGUUUGCACCAGCCCCAUUCGUUGGAGGUACCAUCAAGCUGUUGGACCAUGAAGUUGUCAAUCUCAACCUGCUCAGUGGGGUCCUGAAACAUAAUUCACCAUAAUAAGAUAGCUAUCAUGUGUUUUGGGUAUCACAUCAUAGAAAAGUAGCUUUAGAAUUGAGAUAUACCACAUCAAUGAAAUCAUGUAACUUUAGAAUUGAGAUACAUACCUUUCCAACGAUUGCUGGUCCAAUAAUUGUAUUUACAUUGCUCACAGCCUAGCAAAAGACAAUACGACUUAUUCCAAUGUGAAAAAAGAAGACAACACAUCAAAACAGAAUGGUUGCAAUCACUGACACAGGUUAGCUGUGGAUUCAAAUUUUAAGCCAAAAGCUACGUAGUAACAUUAGUCAACUGAAGCUUUGAGCAUAGCCUUUAAAUAGGUUCUGAAAUCAAAUUUAUCGCAAAUAAAAGGGGGAGGAUUCACAUGUUGGUUUCUAUUAUAUAAGUUAACCAUGACCACUGGAUGCAUGAAUGGCUACGGUGCAUGCGAGUGCAUGACAAAUACAGCUAGUAUUAUACCCUUGCUCAGACUGAAAUGGAGAAAUUGGCUGGUUAACUAACCUUAAGAACACCCUUGCCAAGAUAAUCAGAUCCUCCAUCCCUCAACUCCAAGGCCUCAUAUAUUCCUGAGAGAGUCAAUUGUUCAAAGAUAAAAAUGUCAAAUUCUGUGCAUUAAAUGUCUAACACAUGGAAUUUGUGGUAACUACAGAAGGCAACCUAUUCAAAAAGUAAUUGUGUCUCGACCACAAACUGAAAUUUCACAAAAAGUCCACUCCAAACAAAAUAGCAGAUACUGACAUCCCAUAGUAUACCACAUCUAAUAUCUAAAAGUGUUUGGACCACAAACUGAAAUUUCACAAAAAGUCCAUUCCAAACGAAACAGCAGAUGUUGAUGUCCCAUAAUACCAUAUCUAAUAUCAAUAGUAUGUCUUUUUCUAUGUUGCUAACAUACCAAAAUGAUUAAAUGACACAGUAUCACAUAUAAAUAUGUUUCUUGAUUCAUUAGAUAAGAAUACUUCAGGGGAGGUCUAUUGGCUUUAGUACUUUACUGCAUUAUUAUUUCUGUGUUAAUUGAAAACAAAAUCAUGCUUAUAAUCGAUGAUUGAAGCAAAGGUUGAGACAAGUGUAACUGAAAAUAAACAGAUAAACCAAUAAAUCACAUUAUAUCUGAAAAACAUUCUAAUUAAUAGUGAGACAAUAUAAUAACAGAAGUUCAAAAGUCAAGUUUGUGUCCUGCUUCAUUAACAGAUCCAGAUGGUAAGCAAUUUUCAGAUCAGCUAACCAUGUGAUGACGGUGAUGAUUCUGCUUUGAAACUAUAAGAUGAUUUUUUAUAAACCCUUCCCAUUGAGUAUUUCGAUUCGCGCAGUAAAAAAAAUAGCAAGGUUCUAAACAAGCGCUGGUCAUGGCGGUGGAGAACAGACUGAAAACUUAGAACAAGAAUAUACGCAUCAAUCAGAUCUAGCAACAAAACAACCGCGCGCACAUCUCAGUCCUAGCCAGUUCAACAUGACGAAGACUGUUAUUAUCACCCAACAACCAACAAACGCACAGUUAUAUGUCACAGAGCCACACAGCAUCGACGAUCUCAGACACCGCUCGAAUCCGCUCGACACGCCCAGAUCAAGCGAACCAAGCAGACCCUCACGAACAGAGCACGCUGGUAGAUGGAGCAGAGCAGAGGCAGACAGACGUACCAGUGGAUGCGCCGCUCGGCACGGCACCCCUCGCGUAGCUGCCGUCGCUGAGGCCGAUGUCCACCUGCGCGCAGCGCAGCAGUUAAUCCAGAUUCAUCAUAUCACAGGAAAACAAAAACCGGAGCACAUCGGCACAGCGACGCGGCGAAUCGGCACAGAUCUCCGAAUUCACAGCGCGCCCCAUGGAAGACUGAGGAAAAACGAAACGAACGCGACGCACCUCGACGGUGGGGUUGCCGCGGCUGUCGAAGAUCUGCCUCGCCUUCACCCACGUGAUCGUGACCGCCAUCUCGAAAAAGGCCUAGAAGCGCUCGCCCGCUCGCUCGCUCGCUAUCUGUGGUGGGCUGGUGGCGUUUGCGGUUUUGCGCCUCGCCUCCGCGGCCGGCCGGGACUAUUUGUAGAAGAAGAGAAGAGGGACGCCGCGGAGGGAUGGACUGGGGCCACCUGGAGGUGACAGAUGUUUGAUCCCGUGGAGCCCGCCCGUCGGUGGCCUGGCUUGGAGGAGGGGAAGCUCCGCCCUCGGUUUGCACGGGGGCUGCGGCAGCAGAUUCGAUUUCUUGUUCCCUGGUGGUACUGUCUGUGUGCGCUCUCUCUCCUCUGCUGGUUUCCUUUCGUUCAAAUUUAGGAACUUGCUUAAUAAUAAUUACUGGAAAGUACCACACCAUCGUCAUUAGAAAUUCUCCUCCGUUGAAAAGCUUGUUGGCUUCUUCGAUCUGCGGCGGCUGCAGCAGCUGCCUCUGUUUGAUUUCUUGACCUUCUAUAAUAUCUGUAAUCUAUCAUCAAGCAGUAGACAAGCAGCACAUCCUCACAGGUUGUGGUUCUAUCUGAGGCUACAAGCCGAAACCGUGGCAAGAGAUUUGAUGCGGCUGUGGCUCCAUCUACCGCUACGAGUCAUGCAUUAUUGUGGCUGUGACUUCAUCUGUCACUGCAAGCUGAAGCUGUGCAGGUGAGUGGUUUCCAUGUUGAAUUUAAAAAUAGCUUAACAAAGCAAAAGAAACAAGAAAGUUACUCGCAUAUAGAGAAACAAAAAAGUCGCUUGCAUAUGGCAAAAAUCAGCAAGAUUUUUCUGUUCCGACAAGUGCGGGCUACCACUCAUCGAAAUAUAGAAAAACAACAUCUUUUUCCCCUUUUUUGUCUUCGAUUGUGGCUCCAACUGCCGCUACAAGCCAUGAAUUAAUGCCUUUUUUGUCUUCUGUUGUGGCUCUAUCUACCACUACAAGCCAUGAAUUAGUGCGACGGUUGUGGCUACAUUUGCUGCUGCAAGCCAUGAAUUGUUGCGGUUGUGGCUCCAUCUGCCGCUACAAGCUGAAGUUGUUGCGAUGGAUUUUCAUGCUAAAUUCGAAAAUAGCUUAAUAACACAGCAAAAGGAAACAAGAGUCACUCGCAAUAACAAGACCAGCAACCAACAAGAUUUUUAGGUGUGCAAGAUGCGAUUGUGGCUCCAUCUACCGAUACAAGCCGAAGUCGUGUGGCUCCAUCUUCCACUACAAGUCAAAGUCAUGACAAGGGUUUUCUAUGCUGAAUUCAAAAAUGGCUCAAUAACAAAGCAAAAGAAACAAGAAAGUCGCUUGCAAAUAGAAGACCAUCAAGAUUUUUCGUUGCGCAAGAUGAGGAUGUGGCUUUAUAUGCUACUACAAGCCGAAGCAGCAUGGCUCUAUUGUCGUUACAAGACAAAGCAGUGUGGCUCUAUUUGCAGCAUAGCUGCCAAAGCAGUGUGGCUCUAUCUGCUGCUACAAACCGAAGCCAUGUGGCUCCAUCUGCCGCUAUAAGGCAAAGUCGUGUGGCUCCAUUUGCUGCUACAUGCCAAAGUCAUGGCAAGAGGUUUCCACAGAGCAAAAGAAACAAGUCGCUCACAUAUGGAAGACUAAUUGCGCAAAAUGUAGUUGUGGCUUCAUUCGCCGCUACAAGCCGCCAGUUGUUGAGAGAGGUUUUCAUGUUGAAUUCGAAAAUGUCUUAAUAACAUAGAAAAAAUACAAGAGUCACUCACAUAUAUCAAGACCAGGAACCAACAAGAUUUUCUAGUGCGCAAUAUGCGGUUGUCGCUCCAUCUGCCGAUACAAGCCAAAGUCGUGUGGCUCCAUCCACCACUACAAGUCAAAGCCAUGGCGAGGGGUUUCCAUGCUGAAGUCGAAAAUAGUUCAAUAACAAAGCAAAAGAAACAAGAAAGUCGCUCGCAAAUGGAAGACCAUCAAGAUUUUUCGAAGCGCGGAAUGAGGUUGUUGCUCCAUAUGCCGUUACAACCCAAAGCAGUGUGGCUCUAUUGUCGCUACAAGACGAAGUGGUGUGGCUCUAUUUGUCGCUACAAGCCGCCAAAGUAAUGUGGCUCUGUCUGCCACUACAAAGCUGAAGUCGUGUGGCUCCAUCUACCACUACAAGGCGAAGUCGUGUGGCUCCAUUUGUUGCUACAUGUCAAAGUCGUGGCAAGGGGUUUCCAUGCUAAAUUCAAAAAUAGCUUAGUACCAUAGCAAAAGAAACAAGUCGCUCACAUAUGGAAGACCAGUUGCGCAAGAUGUGAUUGUGGCUCUAUCCACCGCUACAAGCCAAAACAUCAUGGCUCUAUAUGCCAGUACAAGCCGAAGCAGUGUGGCGCUCGAAGCAUACUACAAACCGAAGUUGCCGCUACAAGACUCAACUUUAUAAUAAGGACUCUUUAGGUAUUGUAUGGAUACCUAAAGGUACGUUCAGCGUAGGCGCGUAGAGGGUAGAAAUGUAGAUCAAAAUUUAUUACUAUAGCUAUAUAUUCAAUAUAAAAGAAUUUGAAUUUUAGAAUUAAAGAUUCAUAAUAUAAGACUUCUCAGCUCUUAUCCAUUUCUUUGAAAUGAAUACAUCAUUCAAUUUGGAAGCAGGAUAGUAAAGAUUUCAUUAACUUGCCAAAUAAACGCUGAUAGAAAAAAGAGUACAUGUAUGACAAGCAUAAGAGCAACUCCAACAAAUAUGUUAUCUAGCCUACUUUUAUAUUUUCAAAACAAAAAUUAAAGUCCAAUAAGUGUACUGUUUAGUUUGCUAAAAUAGCAAAUUUACUAUUCCUAAACUUUUGCUUGUCAUAUAUAGCGUGUAGAACUCUAUGCUUUAAGUGAAUUUUUUUAUAUUUUACACAAUAGCUAAAUCUUGUAGUUUAGAAUAUAAUUUAAACUAGUCUAUUAAAGAUGCUCUAACAUCUAUGAUUGGGUUGAAAAUGGCAUAAGCUUUGGGUAUUUUGGCAAAGAAAAAGCUAGUCAAACAAAGAAUAAAAUUAAAACAGGUUUUCAUGCUUAAAUUCAAAAAUGGCUUAAUAACAGAGCAAAAGAUAGAAAGUCUCUAGCAUAUGGCAAGAUCAUAAUGAUUUUCUGUUGUGCAAGAUGCAGCUAUGGCUCCAUCUGCCGAUAAAAGCAAAGCCAUAGUAAAGAAUUUCCAUGCCGAAUACGAAAAUGUUUCAUAGAGCAAAAGAAACAAGAAAGUCGCUUGCUUUCUGUGGAGUACCCAUCAAAAUCAGUUUGGGCAACGAUAUUACAACGAGUGCGGACCACCACUCCAUCACUCAUAUCUAGAAAAACAGUUCUUUUUUUCUUUUUUUUUGUUCCCACGACAAAAUCACUAGUGUAGCUCUCCGGCAAACAAGACCAUACUUUUAUUGUGAUAGUACAGACAUUCUAUCAAAAAGCAGCAGCGAACUAGUAGCUCCACAAGAAACAUCCUCGUCUUCUUUCUCCAGACUCUGGGCUCUCGUGGUUUAGUAGGGCUCCACUGGUGCCCUGAACUUUGCUCCGGCGUAGACUGCGGCAUCACCGAGCUCUUCCUCGAUCCUGAGGAGCUGCAACCACGAACGUUUGGUUCAGACUCAAGAGCCGUAAGCAUAACCUGGUUGCGAAACGAAGAAGCCUUGCGCGCGCAGGUGCGCCCGCUUACCUGGUUGUAUUUGGCCAGGCGCUCAGACCGGCAGGGAGCUCCUGUCUUGAUUUGGCCCUGAAACGAAGUCAUGGAGACCAGGUCAGUACCGAACAUGUUCAAUUCGGACAAUAUUUUAAGUGUAUGUUCGCCAAUUGACGGUGUACCGUAGCCAGGCCAACUGAGAGGUCAGCAAUGAAGGUGUCCUCAGUCUCGCCACUGAAAAAAUGAAAAGAUAGAACAAUUGAGUGAAACAGAUCAAAAACGAAAGUUAGUUAAGUUUUCAAAAGCAAACAAAAAACUUAAAUGGCUACCUCCUGUGGCUUGCCAUCACACCCCAUCCGGCACGCUUGGACAUUCUAACAGCUUCGAUACUCUCAGUCACAGAGCCGAUUUGGUUCACCUGUCACCCGUGUAGCAAUGGAGUUAGUCAACAGCCACUUACAAUAAAGGUAAUCCUUACCCAGGCGAAAAGAUUAGCGAUAUGAAAUAGCAAUGAUUCUACCUUCAAGAGAAGAGCAUUGCAGGUCUUCUCAUUGAUGGCCUUGGCAACCCUCUGUACAGCACAGGUCAAGCAGGUACUGUUUAGAACUGCAUGUUGUGCAUAGAACUAGGAGGAAAUCAAUUACUUAAAAUGUUACUCACAGUGGGGUUAGUAACAAGAAGAUCAUCUCCUACAAUCUGCACUUGCUGUCCAAUCUCAUCAGUGAGUUUGGCAUAAGUGGUCCAGUCAUCCUGAUCGAAUGGAUCUUCGAUAGA